CCAAACUCGGUCAUUUAGAGGAAGUAAAGUCGUAACAAGGUCUCCGUUGGUGAACCAGCGGAGGGAUCAUUA
This 72-nucleotide ribosomal RNA is filed under the name Arthrinium sp. CLF-U. RNAcentral describes it as "partial 18S rRNA". It matches the Rfam family "Eukaryotic small subunit ribosomal RNA", at positions 1759 to 1831 of the family's 1831-position model. The record is from RNAcentral. Lineage: Eukaryota; Fungi; Ascomycota; Sordariomycetes; Amphisphaeriales; Apiosporaceae.